UUAAUUGAAGAGUUUGAUCAUGGCUCAGAUUGAACGCUGGCGGCAGGCCUAACACAUGCAAGUCGAGCGGUAACAGGGGAAGCUUGCUUCUCGCUGACGAGCGGCGGACGGGUGAGUAAUGUAUGGGGAUCUGCCCGAUAGAGGGGGAUAACCACUGGAAACGGUGGCUAAUACCGCAUAAUCUCUUAGGAGCAAAGCAGGGGAACUUCGGUCCUUGCGCUAUCGGAUGAACCCAUAUGGGAGAAGCGAGGAGGGGGGGGAAGGGAGGACGGAGGGGAAGAGAAGGAGAGGGACGGAGAGGACGAGCAGAAAAAAGGGGAGAGAGAGAGGGAGAAGAAGAAGAAGGGAGGAAGAAGGGGGGAACAGGGCACAAGGGGCGCAAGCCUGAUGCAGCCAUGCCGCGUGUAUGAAGAAGGCCUUAGGGUUGUAAAGUACUUUCAGUCGGGAGGAAGGCGUUGAUGCUAAUAUCAUCAACGAUUGACGUUACCGACAGAA
This 495-nucleotide ribosomal RNA is filed under the name Providencia rettgeri. RNAcentral describes it as "bacterial SSU rRNA". It matches the Rfam family "Bacterial small subunit ribosomal RNA", at positions 1 to 486 of the family's 1533-position model. Lineage: Bacteria; Pseudomonadati; Pseudomonadota; Gammaproteobacteria; Enterobacterales; Morganellaceae. The record is from RNAcentral.